AACGAACGCUGGCGGCAGGCCUAACACAUGCAAGUCGAGCGCCCUUUCGGGGGAGCGGCGGACGGGUGAGUAACGCGUGGGAAUAUGCCCUUCUCUACGGAAUAGCCGCGGGAAACUGAGAGUAAUACCGUAUACGCCCUUAGGGGGAAAGAUUUAUCGGGGAAGGAUUAGCCCGCGUUGGAUUAGGUAGUUGGAGGGGUAAUGGCCUACCAAGCCGACGAUCCAUAGCUGGUUUGAGAGGAUGAUCAGCCACACUGGGACUGAGACACGGCCCAGACUCCUACGGGAGGCAGCAGUGGGGAAUCUUAGACAAUGGGGGCAACCCUGAUCUAGCCAUGCCGCGUGAGUGAUGAAGGCCUUAGGGUUGUAAAGCUCUUUCAGCUGGGAAGAUAAUGACGGUACCAGCAGAAGAAGCCCCGGCUAACUCCGUGCCAGCCGCCGCAGUAA
This 447-nucleotide ribosomal RNA is filed under the name uncultured bacterium. Its description in RNAcentral is "partial 16S ribosomal RNA". It matches the Rfam family "Bacterial small subunit ribosomal RNA", at positions 29 to 523 of the family's 1533-position model. The record is from RNAcentral.